GACGAACGCUGGCGGCGUGCUUAACACAUGCAAGUCGAACGGUAAGGCCCUUCGGGGUACACGAGUGGCGAACGGGUGAGUAACACGUGGGUGAUCUGCCCUGCACUUCGGGAUAAGCCUGGGAAACUGGGUCUAAUACCGGAUAGGACCACUGCCUGCAUGGGUGGUGGUGGAAAGCUUUUGCGGUGUGGGAUGGGCCCGCGGCCUAUCAGCUUGUUGGUGGGGUGAUGGCCUACCAAGGCGACGACGGGUAGCCGGCCUGAGAGGGUGACCGGCCACACUGGGACUGAGAUGCGGCCCAGAAUCCUACGGGAGGCAGCAGUGGGGAAUAUUGCACAAUGGGCGCAAGCCUGAUGCAGCGACGCCGCGUGAGGGAUGACGGCCUUCGGGUUGUAAACCUCUUUCAGCACCGACGAAGCGCAAGUGACGGUAGGUGCAGAAGAAGGACCGGCCAACUACGUGCCAGCAGCCGCAGUAA
This 478-nucleotide ribosomal RNA is filed under the name uncultured bacterium. RNAcentral's name for it is "partial 16S ribosomal RNA". It matches the Rfam family "Bacterial small subunit ribosomal RNA", at positions 28 to 523 of the family's 1533-position model. The record is from RNAcentral.